This 89-nucleotide unclassified non-coding RNA is filed under the name Pseudomonas jessenii. The record is from RNAcentral. Lineage: Bacteria; Pseudomonadati; Pseudomonadota; Gammaproteobacteria; Pseudomonadales; Pseudomonadaceae.
UGUAGGAGCGAGCUUGCUCGCGAGGCGUCAUGUCAUUCAAUUUUUCUGUUGCCUGACACACCGCUAUCGCGAGCAAGCUCGCUCCCACA